AGUGAACGCUGGCGGUAGGCCUAACACAUGCAAGCCGAACGGCAGCACAGUAAGAGCUUGCUCUUACGGGUGGCGAGUGGCGGACGGGUGAGGAAUACAUCGGAAUCUACUUUUUCGUGGGGGAUAACGUAGGGAAACUUACGCUAAUACCGCAUACGACCUACGGGUGAAAGCAGGGGAUCUUCGGACCUUGCGCGAUUGAAUGAGCCGAUGUCGGAUUAGCUAGUUGGCGGGGUAAAGGCCCACCAAGGCGACGAUCCGUAGCUGGUCUGAGAGGAUGAUCAGCCACACUGGAACUGAGCCACGGUCCAGACUCCUACGGGAGGCAGCAGUGGGGAAUAUUGGACAAUGGGCGCAAGCCUGAUCCAGCCAUACCGCGUGGGUGAAGAAGGCCUUCGGGUUGUAAAGCCCUUUUGUUGGGAAAGAAAAGCAGCAGGUUAAUACCCCGCUGUUCUGACGGUACCCAAAGAAUAAGCACCGGCUACCUUCGUG
Molecule: ribosomal RNA, 492 nt
Filed under: uncultured bacterium
Lineage: Bacteria
Description: partial 16S ribosomal RNA
Rfam family: Bacterial small subunit ribosomal RNA
Source: RNAcentral